Long non-coding RNA from Contarinia nasturtii (swede midge), 240 nucleotides. RefSeq lists it as uncharacterized. The transcript has 2 exons. The record is from RefSeq and is a predicted model, not a curated record. Lineage: Eukaryota; Metazoa; Arthropoda; Insecta; Diptera; Cecidomyiidae.
CAUGUUCGGUGCUUGGUGCGCACGACAACUCAUACAUUGCGUUCGGUCAUUUCAUUUACGAAUUUGAAGCCUGGCAGACAGAAGUGAAAAAGAGAAAAAAACGAGCUAAACAGUGAAGUGAAUAAAUUUUAACCAAAAAAAGAAGAAAAUUUAAAGAUAUUGAAUGAGAUAAUCACACGAAUAAAGCGAAAAAAAAUUAAAUAAAUUAUUGUGUUUUAAAAUCAUUGAAUUUUUGAAAGA